Long non-coding RNA from Ipomoea triloba (trilobed morning glory), 780 nucleotides. RefSeq lists it as uncharacterized. The transcript is spliced from 2 exons. Lineage: Eukaryota; Viridiplantae; Streptophyta; Magnoliopsida; Solanales; Convolvulaceae. The record is from RefSeq and is a predicted model, not a curated record.
UAUUAUUAUUAUUAUUUACCCAAACCCACAGGCCACAGCCCAUUUGCAAGCCCUACUAUUUCCUCUCACUUAAUUCCCUAAAUCAAAUCAGAGUUCCUCCCCCCUAAAUCAGAUGCAGAGAUCGCGAGAAGCAAGAAGAAGAAGAAGGGAGAACUAGAAGCGAAGAACAAUGGGCAAGAAAACAGCAAGAAUCUGAUGGCACCAUGGAUGAAGAUUACUUGCUUAUUCUUUUUCAUAGUAGUUUUUUUGUAUGUUCAUGGUGGCCUGUGAGUGGGAAAGGAGAAGGAUAAGGGGAGAAGAGGAGAAGAUGAGUAAAGGGUAAAAUUAUUAUUUACCAUUGAGUGUGAUCAGCUAUGUUGUAAACGCUGGUAUCAGUGGCUUUUUUAUUUUCAGCUGAUUGCAUCAAUAAGCUAUAUCAAUAAGCUGGUUUACCAAACACUAAUUUUAGCUGUUUGACUUGGUCAAACAGCUAAAAUUGGUCAAAACAGCUAAAAAGUGGCUGAUCAGCCACCAUCCAAACACCCCCACUAUCUAUCAAAAUAAUCAUAAAUAUAUAUUAUAUACAUUAUACAUGUUAAUAGAUAAUUAUAUUUAAUUUGUAUUGGUAGCUUUGAAUUAUUACGUGGCUCUCCAUUAUUUUAUGUUUUGUCUCCCUCUCUUAUUAUAAUAAAGAGAGGGAAUUUGGCAUUUUGGCCUGUGAAAAUGCUCCAUUCUCCCGCCCAAAGACUUUUGACUCUUUUUUUCUUUUAAAUAAAAGCUUUAAAAUGGAUUGCAAGUAAA